RNAcentral lists this ribosomal RNA (495 nucleotides) under uncultured bacterium. RNAcentral describes it as "partial 16S ribosomal RNA". It matches the Rfam family "Bacterial small subunit ribosomal RNA", at positions 28 to 507 of the family's 1533-position model. The record is from RNAcentral.
GACGAACGCUGGCGGCGUGCCUAAUACAUGCAAGUAGAACGCUGAAGGGGGAGCUUGCUUCUCCGGAUGAGUUGCGAACGGGUGAGUAACGCGUAGGUAACCUGCCUGGUAGCGGGGGAUAACUAUUGGAAACGAUAGCUAAUACCGCAUAAUAGUAGAUGUUGCAUGACAUUUGCUUAAAAGGUGCAAUUGCACCACUACCAGAUGGACCUGCGUUGUAUUAGCUAGUUGGUGGGGUAACGGCUCACCAAGGCGACGAUACAUAGCCGACCUGAGAGGGUGAUCGGCCACACUGGGACUGAGACACGGCCCAGACUCCUACGGGAGGCAGCAGUAGGGAAUCUUCGGCAAUGGACGGAAGUCUGACCGAGCAACGCCGCGUGAGUGAAGAAGGUUUUCGGAUCGUAAAGCUCUGUUGUAAGAGAAGAACGAGUGUGAGAGUGGAAAGUUCACACUGUGACGGUAGCUUACCAGAAAGGGACGGCUAACUACGUG